Lingula anatina is the source of this 274-nucleotide long non-coding RNA. The record is from RefSeq and is a predicted model, not a curated record. NCBI's taxonomy places the organism in Eukaryota, Metazoa, Brachiopoda, Lingulata, Lingulida, Lingulidae.
GACGUCACAAGCAUACAGAAAUACUGUUUUGCGCUAAAAAAGUUUGUUUCAACAAUUAGUUUUGGGGAAACAUGCCUCCAGAUCUACAGAAAGAGGUUCGCGCAAAUUUAUAGAUAAAACAUCGGAUGUUUGAGAACAAGGGAUUGAUUGACUGCUUCAUGGAGUAUUAUAAACACUGAAGGUUUUGUAACAGGAUUUAUCUGCUGAAGACAACUAACAUAUUUGAAUAGCAGAGAUUUAGAUGAAUCAAGUGAUUAGGAACAAAGAGCAAGGC